AUACGGAGGGGACUAGCGUUGUUCGGAAUUACUGGGCGUAAAGAGUUCGUAGGCGGACUGAUAAGUAAGAGGUGAAAUCCCAGGGCUCAACCCUGGAACUGCCUUUUAAACUGUCAGUCUAGAGACCGGAAGAGGUUAGGGGAAUACCUAGUGUAGAGGUGAAAUUCGUAGAUAUUAGGUGGAACACCAGUGGCGAAGGCGCCUAACUGGUCCGGUACUGACGCUGAGGAACGAAAGCGUGGGGAGCAAACAGGAUUAGAAACCCUUGUAGUCC
This 274-nucleotide ribosomal RNA is filed under the name uncultured bacterium. RNAcentral describes it as "partial 16S ribosomal RNA". It matches the Rfam family "Bacterial small subunit ribosomal RNA", at positions 523 to 796 of the family's 1533-position model. The record is from RNAcentral.